Acanthopagrus latus (yellowfin seabream) is the source of this 484-nucleotide long non-coding RNA. RefSeq lists it as uncharacterized. The record is from RefSeq and is a predicted model, not a curated record. The transcript has 2 exons. NCBI's taxonomy places the organism in Eukaryota, Metazoa, Chordata, Actinopteri, Spariformes, Sparidae.
UCAAAGCGAGGAGGAUGUCUGUGCGUGACAUGAUCCAUAGCAGAUGAAUAUGCUGCGAAAAUAAGCGCCUAGGCCAGGAAAAAGAAAAAGAGUGACGGAGAUGUCACCAGCGCCUGUCUGAAUAGUUGGGACAUUUUCAACUGAUGUGCUCGGAGCAGCCAUGCAAAAAAGGGGGAUUGUUGGAAAAAAAACCCACUGGGCUCCUUCUCUCUGGGCGGGCGGCUGCUGCUGGCGGACGCUCACUCCUUAUUGCUGGCAUACCCGUCAUUUUCCCUGCUCUACAUGGUGUCAGAGGGGGAACGGGGAGAAGAUGACGUAUAGCUUGCUGAUUGUCUCAUUCACAGCUCAGCGGAGAGCAAGGAGCUUAAUUGAUUCUAGUUCAGUCCGAGGGGGAGUGAAGCAUGGAGGCCAUCCAUCACUGUCAUCGUCAUCCAUCAGCCGAUGCUGGAAGCAGAAAGGAUUAAAAUACAAGACCGAUCUUAAA